GCCGAUGUAGCUCAGCUGGUCAGAGCAACUGAUUUGUAAUCAGUAGGUCGGGGGUUCGAAUCCCUCCAUCGGCU
Molecule: transfer RNA, 74 nt
Filed under: Bacteroidota bacterium
Lineage: Bacteria; Pseudomonadati; Bacteroidota
Description: Bacteroidetes bacterium (activated sludge metagenome) tRNA-Thr
Rfam family: tRNA
About the family: Transfer RNA (tRNA) molecules are approximately 80 nucleotides in length. Their secondary structure includes four short double-helical elements and three loops (D, anti-codon, and T loops).
Source: RNAcentral